This 4093-nucleotide unclassified non-coding RNA is filed under the name Haliotis rufescens (red abalone). RNAcentral's name for it is "zinc finger protein 58-like, transcript variant X4". The record is from RNAcentral. Lineage: Eukaryota; Metazoa; Mollusca; Gastropoda; Lepetellida; Haliotidae.
GGGAAUAGUACAUGAGGAAAAGCCGGUCAAGAAGAUGAAUCCGCCAUUGUUGAGAAUUUUCCAGAAAAUCGAAGAGCACUUGUGCAGCUGGAUUGCACAUUAACAGAAGAUCUUUCGAUGAAAACCUGCAUGAACACUACACUAAGAAGCAAACGGGCGAAGUUACUGUAUGUAUUGUGUUUGCAUUGGAGCGAAAACAGGUGAUUUAGCUGAGGCUUUUGUUUCGACAUUCCGCGCACCUGCUUGGCGGCAAAGCUCAACAUGCGGUGUUAUCUAUACAUGUGAUCAACCACCGAUCUAAGCGCUCAAGAUUACUAACAUUGAAAGCAUUUUGUGAUAUUUCUACGUGUUAUAUUCCGACAUAAUCAAUCAUGUUCAUCGAAACUCUUGAAUUCACAAUUCCUGUGGAAUUGUGUAAUGUUUUUUCAACUCUUCAGAAGGGACAGAGGUCAAACGUAGAGUUUCCGGCAUCCGUGAACUCAUACGGCACAACGCAAGAUGCCAGUGUGCAGGUUGUGUUGCGCUCAAACAAACUAACGUUCAAAGUGGACGGUGUGUCGUCAAAUGCUAGCAUGAUAUCAAAGAGUGAAUGUAAGACAUUAAAACUCUCUGUGUUUGAUGUGGACCGCACAUUAAUGCCUCAAGAAAAUGACAAUUACGAUUCAAAUAAUAUGUCCGCAAUGCAGCAUUCUACACCUGUGUCAUUUCCAUCCAAGAGACAUCAAGAAAUAUCAGUGUCACAACCACCUGCUAAAAAUCGUAGGACUUCUUUUUCUGAGUCUCCAAGACCCAGAUCUCCACUUCAUCGUCGCUCACAACCUCAAAUCAGUCCACGUCCAUCUCAAAACACACAAUCAAAAUCCAAAAAUGACUCUCCAGUGAAUGUGAAACAAGAACCAGAAGAUCCAGAUUUAAUAGAAAUAGAACUAGACCAUGAUCCCGAUGAUGUUGUGCCAAAGAAAGAGACUCCAUACAUGCAAAUAGAUUAUUCAUCAGAUGUACCUCAUACGCAAACGUCCCAAGCAGCUCUAGAUCGACUCUCUCAUCCACAAUCAUCCCAUUCUCAAUCACCCGGUUCUUCAUCAUCGUCCUUCCAUCAAAACGUUCCACAUGUGCCAGAUUACGCCGAACCCAGUACUAGUCAAGUUCAUCAUGGUGACCAAAGUGCAGAUGACUUUUUAGUGUUUCAAGAACAAGACGAAGAUUGUGAUGACAACGAUGCUGAUUAUGGAAAUGAUGAUUUUGGAUGUUCAGUUGAUAAUGAGCAGCAGACGGCAGGUCAGUCUGUGAGUUCUGGUCAGUGGGAUUAUUGUGCUGGUUCGUAUGGACAACCAUUGUACCAGUCUCAGUCUCAAGAAGGGGGACAGGGGAGUUGGAACACUCAUAGGACUUCAAGUCACACCAAAAGGAAAGGCCCCUGGCCGUGUACUGUUUGUGGCAAAGUGUUCUUGGACUCUACGUCCCGACAGAACCAUAAAGAGGCCGAACAUGAUAAGCGUAAAUAUGCAUGUGCAUGUGGGAAGGAGUACAAGUACAGGACAGGUCUACGCUUGCACAAAAAAGUCUGCUCAAUGACGAAUUAGGAAGUUGAUGAGGAUUCAUUCUGUUUGGAUAGAGUUGUAAUCAAUCGUACAGUUGUAAUUUUGGUGAUUCAGUUAUGUGGUGAGGGCACAGAAAGGUGACCACAGAUGUACUGAGGAUGGGACAUUAGUGUUGUCACAAUUGACCUUUCAGUUGUUUGAUAAGUGCAUGAAAGGAUGCCUUUCCCCCAAGCUUGUCCAAUACAGAAUUGGGAACGUCAUGAAUUAUUAAAAUAUUGAAAGAUUCUUGAUUAUCGGACAUGACUCACAAUGGCACUAGUUUGUGGUGGCUCUGCAGUAUAUGAUUGCUUGGGUAACUGACUUAUUGUAUGGGUGUGCCCUGUGAAUAGGAACACGAAUUGCCAAUUAUCAGAAGGCAUAUUCUGAAAACAUGUGAAACGCAAGAAGAUAUUACUUAGCGUCCAGCGGUGAAUUAUGACCACAUAGGAUGAUACAGAUUGACAAUCCAGAAAAUAUGUGAAACGCAAGAAGAUAUUACUCAUCGCCCAGCGGUGAAUUAUGACCACAUAGGAUGAUACAGAUUGACAAUCCAACAUUUCAGAAGACUUUUUGUUGCUUUCAGACUUCUCUGUGGUGGCUAAUGCUCCAAAGACAGAGCUUGGUGAAGGAGGAUUUGAUAGUCAAACGGUUGGAUCUGCUGUGUAUGUAGCCGACAACAUAAGGAUGGGUGUCACCCCCCAGGGAGACCCCUUUGUUAAUUCCCCCCACGGCCUGGCCAAUAUGAAAGGGGAACUGUUUAGGAAGCGAUGGUUUUGUCCAGAUUGUGGGCGAGUGUUUCUUGAGAAAAAGACCAUGAUGGUCCACAUAGAUGCUAUCCAUAACAAUGUGACACUGCCUUGUGUGUGUGGGAAGACAUACAAGUACCCAUUUGCUCUCAGGAGACAUAAGAAAACAUGUCAACUGAGUUUACAGAUAUUGGAGGACAGAGUAUAAGCCAGGCAGAGUAUUCAGUAGGUCUGCUCAGAGAGAGAAUCUGGAAGCCGGGUGGAUUUCUUGGACAUUCGUCAACUCCUGUUGUUGGUGAAGGCCUCGCUAUGCGUGUUAAUCCAUUUGAUAGUUCAUCAUCUGCUGUUGUUGCCGAAGGCCUUGCUAUGCGUGUUAAUGCCUUUGAUGGUUCAUUCCUUGGCAAAGAUGGCGAUUUGUCGAGUCAGGUGAAGGCAAUCCGAAAUUCCACCUGUGAUGAAUGUGGCAAGAUUUUUGCAGAUUCCAAAUCAAAGUCAAACCACAAACGGGCAGUGCAUGAUAAGCGACCAUUUUCUUGUGUCUGCGGCAAGGAGUAUAAGUACAUGACAGGACUAAGGAUGCAUAAGAAGAAAUGUGCUUGUGCUAAGAUGAUGAGAGAUGACAAUGACUGAGCAGCUGCAAGAGUGAGGAUCGUUACCUUCUUUUGAUAAUGUCGCUUCUUGGGAGAUGACAGUAAUCCUGUUGUCUAGGGUUUAGUGCACUGCAAGAGUGAGGAUCGUUACCUUCUUUUGAUAAUGUCGCUUCUUUGGAGAUGACAGUAAUCCUGAUGUCUAGGGUUUAGUGCACUGCAAGAGUGAGGAUCAUUACUUCAAAUUGAAAAUAUCGCUUCUUUAGAGAUGACAGUAAUCCUGUUGUCUAGGGUUUAGUGCACUGGAUGAGUGAGGAACGUUACUUCAAAUUGAAAAUAUCGCUUCUUCAGAGAUGACAGUAAUCUUGUUGUCUAGGGUUUAGUGCACUGGAUGAGGGAGGAACGUUACUUCAAAUUGAAAAUAUCGCUUCUUCAGAGACGACAGUAAUCUUGUUGUCUUGGGUUUAGAUGGACUGCCUGUAUUCUUUUCAAUGUACUUUGAAAAUUAUCUGACCUUGUUCAUGUAUGCUUUUGGAAUUCUUCAGUACUUUUCUUGGGAUUUUUAUGGGUAUUUAAAAGCAAAUCUGUCCUGAAACUGUUUUGACUUUUUGUGUGGCAAGUUUUCCGAUGAAGUUACUUCCGAUGUCAGGCUUGGAGAAUUGUAGAUUGUUGUUGGAACAGAACCAGCAAGCCUUCAUGCCAUGUGUAUUUGGAUGGAUGAUCGGUACUUGGUAGCAUAUGUACUGCAGUAAUUUAAUGAUGACUUUUGUGUUGCAUUGGAUGAUACUGUUGUAUUCGAGAGAUGAAAAAAUCCAAAACAUUUUAUGCAAGGUCUAAGACUCAGGAGACUUUGGUGACAAUUGCCAUACAGCGUCUGAAGAUACAAAAUACCAAGGGUGUCAUUUGUACUGGGAUGCCAUUCUCUUUGAUGGCAUUUGUAUCAAACGAUAAGAAGAUCUUAAGAAGCCAGACAGUUCAGUGACUUGUUUUGAGGUCUGAAGGCACGACACUGACGUGCCAGUGUAUUGAGAUCUAAAGAUGUCUUUUGUACAAGAGAGACGAUGAUGACUGCUGCACCUCAUGUCCUUUGUGUAAGAUUAUUUUUCCUGUUACAUCGUGAAAGCCAGCAUGAUAUCUAAUGCACUCUCCUUUGAAGAAACUAGAGAAUCUUCUUCGUGUG